RNAcentral lists this ribosomal RNA (618 nucleotides) under uncultured Dacrymycetes. RNAcentral's name for it is "eukaryotic LSU rRNA". It matches the Rfam family "Eukaryotic large subunit ribosomal RNA", at positions 15 to 667 of the family's 3401-position model. The record is from RNAcentral. Lineage: Eukaryota; Fungi; Basidiomycota; Dacrymycetes.
GUAGGACUACCCGCUGAACUUAAGCAUAUCAAUAAGCGGAGGAAAAGAAACUAACAAGGAUUCCCCUAGUAACUGCGAGUGAGGCGGGAAGAGCUCAAAUUUAAAAUCUGGUGGCUUCGCCGCCCGAGUUGUAAUCUGAAGAAGCGUUUUCGGUCGUUGCCUCGGACAAGUCCCUUGGAACAGGGCGUCAUAGAGGGUGAGAAUCCCGUCCUUGCCGAGCUACAACGUCUAUGUGAUGCGCUCUCGAAGAGUCGAGUUGUUUGGGAAUGCAGCUCAAAACGGGUGGUAAACUCCAUCUAAAGCUAAAUAUUGGCGAGAGACCGAUAGCGAACAAGUACCGUGAGGGAAAGAUGAAAAGCACUUUGGAAAGAGAGUUAAACAGUACGUGAAAUUGCUGAAAGGGAAGCGCUUGAAGUCAGUCGCGUGUAUGAGACUCAGCCUCACGGUGCAUUUCUCUUACACGGGUCAACAUCAGUUUCGACCGCGGGAAAAGGGCUUGAGGAAUGUGGCAGCCUCGGCUGUGUUAUAGCCUCUUGUCGUACACCGCGGUCGGGACUGAGGACCGCUUAUAGGAUGUUGACGUAAUGGCUUUAAGCGACCCGUCUUGAAACACGGACC